This 480-nucleotide ribosomal RNA is filed under the name uncultured bacterium. Its description in RNAcentral is "partial 16S ribosomal RNA". It matches the Rfam family "Bacterial small subunit ribosomal RNA", at positions 28 to 507 of the family's 1533-position model. The record is from RNAcentral.
GAUGAACGCUAGCGGCAGGCCUAACACAUGCAAGUCGAGGGAGAGGUUACCUUCGGGUAACCAAAACCGGCGCACGGGUGCGUAACGCGUAUACAAUCUGCCUUUCACAUAGGGAUAGCCCGAAGAAAUUUGGAUUAAUACCUAAUGGUAUAUAAGAGCGGCAUCGUUUUUAUAUUAAAGCUACGGUGGUGAAAGAUGAGUAUGCGUUCUAUUAGCUAGUUGGAGAGGUAACGGCUCCCCAAGGCGACGAUAGAUAGGGAUUCUGAGAGGGAUGUCCCCCACACUGGUACUGAGAUACGGACCAGACUCCUACGGGAGGCAGCAGUGAGGAAUAUUGGACAAUGGUCGGAAGACUGAUCCAGCCAUGCCGCGUGCAGGAUGAAGGUCCUAUGGAUUGUAAACUGCUUUUGUAAGGGAAGAAUAAGGAGUACGUGUACUUUGAUGACGGUACCUUACGAAUAAGCAUCGGCUAACUCCGUG